AAAGCCUCACAAGGAUGGAGGGGGGAACCUGCGCGUCUGUCUCCUCCUGUUGCUGCUGCAGCCAGGCAUGCACUGAUUUAUUCAAAUUACAGCAGAAGAUCAGCAGUGAGCUACUAAUGGAGUAAUUUACGUCUCCCUUCAUUCCCCUGAUGUUUGUAGCAGGAGAAAGGGUUGAGACAAUGCAAUGAAAAAGAAAAGAAGAAAAGCAGGGGAGAAGCAGGAAAGCAAAUGGAAGUGAAAUCCUGACUGAGGAACAGACUGACUCCUCUAGUAUGUGUACCAAAACUUCUGAUAUAUUUGCUGGGCUUCUGAGAGGAACAGAAUGGAGCCACUUUUCACCUCUGUGAAGCGGAGAUGAAACGGAAAGAAAAGCAAUGGGGAAGCUAAUAUGUUUUCUAUGCUGCAGCUGCUUCCCUGAACCUACAUCAUCACUGUUCUAGCUGAUAUGAAGUGCAGCACAGGCAGACUCUGCCAUUUCUUGUUUAUUGCUCUCUGAAGCAGGAUGAACUGCAUCUUCACUAUUUUCCAGAUUACCAGUGAGGUUUAGAUGAUGCUUCUUAGUCAGAUCAAAGAUGGAGAGAAUGGAGACAAGCUCAGCAGCAGCCUUGCUCAUCCAGCAUUCCCUUUCAACGCAACUAACAUCAGGCAACAGCGUGGCUUUUCUCACAGUGACCACACUUACAAGAAGCCUUUGCAACAGCUCUGAAGAGUGUCUCUUCCAGGAUGGCACAGCAGAAACAGCCCCUUUGAAAACAUGUUUGAAAGCAGAGAGUGAUGUGCCAUCAAGCUGAGCUCCUCACAAUACACCCAUCAAAGGAGCAGUUAGAGCAGCAAGAGCACAGGUGUUGUGAAGGCUUAACAUGACUGCAUGGACUCCCCAUGCUGUAAUUGCACUUGUCAAGGGACAUUAAAAAUUGUAUCCUGCUAUGAGACCCUGUGUGUGACUCUUAUUGCAGAGAAAGACUUUCAGGAAUGAGUAAGGAAUCAGAAUUGCUUUGAUAAAUAUGAUCAACAUUCUUCAUAAGACCUAAAAAACUACAUAUGAACUAGUAUAGGAUUUGUACUAGAUCACAAUCUAAAUGUAACUGAAAAUAUCUUUCAGAGAGACAAAGUUAACAAUGUGAUAUAUCAAUAGGAGCACAGAUUUCAAGAUGCAUCAGUACAUCCUUCUGGUCUUGACAGCCUUGAUAAAGCCUCUGCUGUAAACUUUUUCUACUUCCAGG
Non-coding RNA from Cyanistes caeruleus (blue tit), 1223 nucleotides. The record is from RefSeq and is a predicted model, not a curated record. NCBI's taxonomy places the organism in Eukaryota, Metazoa, Chordata, Aves, Passeriformes, Paridae.